UACGUAGGGGACAAGCGUUGUCCGGAAUCAUUGGGCGUAAAGCGCGUGUAGGCGGUCCGGUAAGUCCGCUGUGAAAGUCGGGGGCUCAACCCUCGGAUGCCGGUGGAUACUGUCGGGCUUGAGUACGGAAGAGGCGAGUGGAAUUCCUGGUGUAGCGGUGAAAUGCGCAGAUAUCAGGAGGAACACCAAUUGCGAAGGCAGCUCGCUGGGACGUUACUGACGCUGAGACGCGAAAGCGUGGGGAGCAAACAGG
This 253-nucleotide ribosomal RNA is filed under the name uncultured bacterium. RNAcentral's name for it is "partial 16S ribosomal RNA". It matches the Rfam family "Bacterial small subunit ribosomal RNA", at positions 524 to 776 of the family's 1533-position model. The record is from RNAcentral.